CCAAUGCGCGCAAGCGUGAGGAGGGGACCCCAAGUGCGCCGUCACAAACGGUGCUUUUACGGAGUGUAAAAAGCUCCGGGAAUAAGGACUGGGCAAGACUGGUGCCAGCCUCCGCGGUAACACCAGCAGUUCUAGUGGUAAUCGUGUUUACUGGGUUUAAAGCGUCCGUAGUCGGUUCAGCAAGUCUUCUGUGAAAUCCUGCAGCUCAACUGUAGGGCUUGCAGAGGAUACUACUGGUCUAGAGGCCGGGAGAGGGAGGAGGUAUUCUGGGGGUACCGGUGAAAUGGUAUAAUCCCUGGAAGACCACCAGUAGCGAAGGCGUCCUCCUGGAACGGGCCUGACGAUGAGGGACGAGAGCUAGGGGAGCAAACCGGAUUAGAUACCCGGGUAGUCCCAGCCGUAAACGAUGUUCGCUAGGUGUCAGGGACGGUGCGACCGUUUCUGGUGCCGUAGGGAAGCCGUGAAGCGAACCACCUGGGAAGUACGGCCACAAGAUUAAACUUUAG
This 506-nucleotide ribosomal RNA is filed under the name uncultured archaeon. Its description in RNAcentral is "bacterial SSU rRNA". It matches the Rfam family "Archaeal small subunit ribosomal RNA", at positions 352 to 860 of the family's 1478-position model. The record is from RNAcentral.